Molecule: ribosomal RNA, 393 nt
Filed under: Steirodon sandrae
Lineage: Eukaryota; Metazoa; Arthropoda; Insecta; Orthoptera; Tettigoniidae
Description: partial 12S ribosomal RNA
Rfam family: Microsporidia small subunit ribosomal RNA
Source: RNAcentral
UAUUAUUGGAAUUGUAAGAGUGUUUCCUGAGUAGUAAUAGUUAAGAUCUUGAAACUUAAAGAAUUUGGCGGUGUCUUAGUCCUUUCAGAGGAAUCUGUCUUGUAAUCGAUAUUACACGUUAAAUAUAACUUGACUUAGUUUUACCAGCUUGUAUACCGCCGUCAUAAGAAUAUCUUUCUGAGAGAAUUUUCUUAAUAUUAGAAGAUUGAAUGUCAGGUCAAGGUGCAGUUUAUAGUUAAGAAUUGAUGGAUUACAAUAAUAUUAGUUACACGGAUUUUUAUGGAUGAAGAUUUGUUAAUGAAGGUGGAUUUGAGGGUAAUUUUGUUAAAAUAUAGCAGGGUGAACUAGGCUCUAAGGCAUGUACACAUCGCCCGUCACUCUCAUUUAAGUGAG